This is a non-coding RNA of Ailuropoda melanoleuca (giant panda), 214 nucleotides long. The record is from the annotation of a RefSeq genome assembly. NCBI's taxonomy places the organism in Eukaryota, Metazoa, Chordata, Mammalia, Carnivora, Ursidae.
AUGCAGACGCUGUGGUCCCUCCUCUGCCUUCUGGCAGCUCCCCUGGGGAAGAGUGUCCUGUCUCAACUUACACUUCAGGAGUCAGGCCCAGGACUGGUAAAGACCCUCUCUCUCAACUGUGUUGUCUCCGGAGGCUCUGUCACCAGCAGUUACUAUUGGAACUGGAGCCGCCAGCGCCCUGGGAGAGCAUUGGAGUGGAUGGGGUACUGGACAG